UGCUUCUAGGGGUGGAACUGCCUCUGUCUCCUGAUGCGCUCUCAGCCAUGGAGCCAAGAAACCUUCGGCAUAGCCAAGAAGUCCGAGUUGGUAGCUGUCAAUGCUAUCAUUGAUUUCGUGUACGCCACCAACGCCGCCAGCGACAUUCUCCUGAUAUGGGUCAUUUACUACCAAACCCGUCAACAUAACAUGGGUGUCAUGGCUGACUCGAAGG
Molecule: long non-coding RNA, 214 nt
Organism: Dermacentor andersoni
Lineage: Eukaryota; Metazoa; Arthropoda; Arachnida; Ixodida; Ixodidae
Source: RefSeq, a predicted model, not a curated record